This 440-nucleotide ribosomal RNA is filed under the name uncultured bacterium. Its description in RNAcentral is "bacterial SSU rRNA". It matches the Rfam family "Bacterial small subunit ribosomal RNA", at positions 340 to 774 of the family's 1533-position model. The record is from RNAcentral.
UACGGAAGGCAGCAGUGGGGAAUAUUGCACAAUGGGCGCAAGCCUGAUGCAGCCAUGCCGCGUGUAUGAAGAAGGCCUUCGGGUUGUAAAGUACUUUCAGUCGUGAGGAAGGUGUUAAGGUUAAUAACCUUAGCAAUUGACGUUAGCGACAGAAGAAGCACCGGCUAACUCCGUGCCAGCAGCCGCGGUAAUACGGAGGGUGCGAGCGUUAAUCGGAAUUACUGGGCGUAAAGGGCACGCAGGCGGUUAAUUAAGUUGGAUGUGAAAUCCCCGGGCUUAACCUGGGAAUGGCAUUCAAGACUGGUUAGCUAGAGUCUUGUAGAGGGGGUAGAAUUCCAUGUGUAGCGGUGAAAUGCGUAGAGAUGUGGAGGAAUACCGGUGGCGAAGGCGGCCCCUGGACAAAGGCUGACGCUCAUGUGCGAAAGCGUGGGGAGCAAACG